Molecule: ribosomal RNA, 301 nt
Filed under: uncultured bacterium
Lineage: Bacteria
Description: partial 16S ribosomal RNA
Rfam family: Bacterial small subunit ribosomal RNA
Source: RNAcentral
CAGUAGCCGCGGUAAUACAGAGGGUGCAAGCGUUAAUCGGAGUUACUGGGCGUAAAGGGCGCGUAGGCGGUUAUUUAAGUGAGUUGUGAAAUCCCUGGGCUUAACCUAGGAACUGCAACUUAUACUGGAUAGCUGGAGUACUGUAGAGGGUAGUGGAAUUUCCGGUGUAGCGGUGAAAUGCGUAGAGAUCGGAAGGAACACCAGUGGCGAAGGCGGCUACCUGGACAGAUACUGACGCUGAGGCGCGAGAGCGUGGGGAGCAAACAGGAUUAGAUACCCCCGUAGUCCCUGUCUCUUAUAC